Molecule: ribosomal RNA, 478 nt
Filed under: uncultured bacterium
Lineage: Bacteria
Description: partial 16S ribosomal RNA
Rfam family: Bacterial small subunit ribosomal RNA
Source: RNAcentral
GAUGAACGCUAGCGGCAGGCCUAACACAUGCAAGUCGAGGGAGAAGCCCUUUCGGGGGCGGACACCGGCGCACGGGUGCGUAACGCGUAUGCAACCUACCUUUCACAGGGGGAUAGCCGGAAGCAAUUUGGAGUAAUACCCCAUAAUAUUAUUGGAUGUCAUCAUUUGAUAAUUCAAACUGCGGUGGUGAAAGAUGGGCAUGCGUCCUAUUAGCUGGUUGGAGUGGUAACGGCACCCCAAGGCGACGAUAGGUAGGGGUCGUGAGAGGGAGAUCCCCCACACUGGUACUGAGACAGGGACCAGACUCCUACGGGAGGCAGCAGUGAGGAAUAUUGGUCAAUGGUCGGAAGACUGAACCAGCCAUGCCGCGUGCAGGAAGAAUGCCUUAUGGGUUGUAAACUGCUUUUAUAUGGGAAGAAUAAGGCGUACGUGUACGUUGAUGACGGUACCAUAUGAAUAAGCAUCGGCUAACUCCGUG